AGGAGGCUUCGGUGGAGGCAUGCCUGGAGGGUUCCCAGGUGCUGCGCCUGGGGGCGCCCCUGGAAAUAUUGACAUGAGCAGUAUUCUGAAUGAUCCUGAACUCAUGGCGGCGUUUAGUGAUCCAGAGAUUAUGGCUGCUCUUCAAGAUGUGAUGAGCAACCCGGCAAAUAUUGCGAAACACCAAUCAAAUCCAAAGGUGGCACCCGUGCUUGCUAAAAUGAUGGGGAAAUUCGCUGGGAACAAGUAAUCACAAUUUGCUGUAUCUCUGGAUGUGUUGCAGUUUGCCCGGUCUAAUGAAGUUUACUAGUGGUCUUUAACUUGGUUUAUUUGCGGUUGUUUGUUAUAUACAUUGCUGAGAUGAUUACUGUUGAUGAGACCUUUUGUAAGGUGCUUGUGAUUUUCAUGCAUUUUGG
This 413-nucleotide unclassified non-coding RNA is filed under the name Hevea brasiliensis (rubber tree). Lineage: Eukaryota; Viridiplantae; Streptophyta; Magnoliopsida; Malpighiales; Euphorbiaceae. The record is from RNAcentral.